ACGGCGCGGGGAAAGCCCCGCCGCGCUCCGCCCCGCAGCACCGUCUCCGCUGUCGCCGCCGCUCCGAGCCCAGUCGUGCCGAUCCCCGCCACCGCGAUGAUGCCCGGCAGGACUCCGCGGAAAGCCGCUCCGCCCGCCGCUCGCGGGGGUACCGGGAGUGAAGAGAAAGGCAUAGUCGGAGGUGGUAUCGGAGUGCGCCCUGCAGCUGCGCAGGAUAGGCGACAAGUGGAACCUGCGGCAGAAGAUCCUGAACCUGCUCACGAAGCUCUUCUGCCCGGAGACAUGAGCUCGCCUCGGAUAACAGCGUGCUGAGAAGCAGGGAAAGACCUUGGCUUUGUGGAUUUGGAACAAGAGACUGACACUAAGAGAUGAAGAUUGCGUUGGGUUUUGCUGCCUGUAGCCACCAAAAGAUGGCUGUUGCAUCAUGAUUUCUUCGAAGAAUAUUACAGCAAUACUGACACAUGAAUGUCAGGUGGGAAAAAAAAAGAUAUCAAUGGGCAGAGCCUCUCACCGUGCAGUGGGGGGACUUGGGGCAAGCUGGAACUUGCCCUUCAGCCUGGUCUCCCCAGUGGCACUCUGGUCCUCGGGUCCCACAGCUAUGUUUCACCAAGGAGCUUGGACCACCUUCGGGAAGGAAGCAAAAAAAGUUCCAGUGUCUUGGAACUUUGGAUCAUGUAUUGCAAGGCAAAAGCCAGUUGCUCUGUUUCUGACUGCUCUUGUUUUCUAAAGCAUGGAUUCUGCUGGACAGGGAUCUGGUGGUGGAAUUAUUCCAUUUAAGUAAACCACUAUCUAUCUUAAUUGAAAAGUUAUUUGUUACAGGAUGUUGCUUUGUGGACUAAAAAUUAGAAUUCUAUGAAUUAACAUGAUGUUGCAUAGUUCUAGUCUAUAUUGUAUAUGUAUUUGCGUAUCUAUUAUAUAUAUAAAAAUAUAAAUACGUCCACCCUAUCUAUAUGACAUGAGUAUUUCACAGAACUAGUAAUUGAAUGGUACUUGUUUAGGCUUAAAAAGCAAUAACAAAAAAAAAUGUUCAAAACAUGACAUAAACCACAUAAAAAUACAUUAUAUAAACUAGAAGAAAGCACAGUGUUGUCUGAUAAUAAAGGAAUACAUUAUGUAUCAGAGAGGGAGCAUACUUUGGUAUAGCACUAUAUAAGACAUAUGAAUAUAUAUUACACAAAUACAGAUAUUGAGGUAUGUGUGGUAGGAUUCUUUCAAUAUUACAAAGAAUUUCUUGAGAACAGUACAAUACUGCUGUGUCUUUAUAAGUAACUUCAUAACUCUUCAAUAGAAGUAGAUCUGAAAGUUGAGUCCAAGUUGAAUCUCAGGUUUUCUUGAGAAUGUUAUUUAUUCAAAGAAAGCAACUACCUCUCUUUGAAGAAAUAAUAUCAACAGAAUUGAAUGUUACAGUCAUUACAGAAAAAGUAGCCUUGGAUUUCUGUAUGUUUAACUAUAUUGGCAAGUGAAGCUUCUUUCCUUAUACUUGAUUUCCACCUAAUUUCAUGGCAACCUCAUUUCAGUUCUGGAAUGAUGCAACCAUUGUAGCACAUCCAGUGGAUGGUGAUGCAUUAUGCCUAUCUCACUGAGGGCUUAUUACCCCUGGGUGGCUUUAGAGGAGAUGAAUUAAGCAUGCUAAUCACCAUCAAGGCAAACAGUAGCUCUACUAGUCAAUUCACACGAGAUGGAUACAAUCCUAAACAGUAUUUUUUCAUGGGUGCAAGCUAGCAAGAAUAUGGCUGAAGCUGGUCAUGUUUUCUAGCUGAUUCUGACAUCAAUGGUCAGUUCCUUCUCUUAACUAGCUUUGUAUGUAAGUACCUUUGCAUUGUAUAGGGCUGUAUAGUUGCACUUUCUGAAUUUUGGGUCUGUUCAAGUUAGAUUUUUUCCUGCCUUUUAGAGAAUUUUUGUAUAUAUUUAUAAAUAAUUUUUUGUUAUCUCUCCUGAAUCGGCCUUUGCAAAAUUGUCAUUGCAUAGCUCUGAUCACUCUGUCACAACCCACUGCGUAUGGCUGUUACUUGUCACUGAUUUCACUAAGGAGAAGCUGACUGACUUAGCGUGCUUAGCGCAUGGAGGCCCAGUGGCAUUACUGGGAGCUUUAUCAUUGUCUUGAGCUACGUGCAUGGUUCCCUCCUCUAAGCCACCUUGUACCUUUUCAGUGAGAGCAUAAUGUUUCGAGAAUAGUUGUUUUUCACCUUAGCACUGCAACGUGGCGUGUUUUGCUGACAUGUAGAGAGGUCGUUUUUUCAGGUAUUAAAAAGUAAAUGCAAAGAGUUUCUGUUUGGCUAAACACCAGCUCCAAGGCUAGCACCGCGUGCAGCUUGGCAAAGCUGUUCAUCAAAGGCAGAGCACUGAGUUCAGCAGGAGGGCUCCUGCUCCAUGUCCUGGGCUUGGUGGAAUCUCAGAGCCUUCAUCAAGGACACUGAACAAUGAUCGUGCCUGCCUGGGACUCUCUGGAAAAUUCGACAUUAGAAUUCACAUUAGUAGCUGAAAUAUAUUUAAAUAAAGGUGUUCUGCUCAAUGUACUCUGCUUUAAAUUCAGUAGGAAAUGAGGUGCAGGCUGCAUAGAGCCUGCCCUGUUCUUCAGGCUGCUGCACACAUGAAUAUUAUGGAAAAAAAAGUAUUGCCAUAAAUGCAUCACCAUGGGGAUAUCUGAGUUAAGUGUUAGUGAAGUAUAUUUUUCUGCCUAUAUCUGCAAAGACUAUUUGCUUCUUUGUGUUUUUGUGUUUCUCUGAGCAUUGUCAAGAGUGCUGACAUUCACUGGGAACUCAGGAAAAAGACCCAGAUCCAAGCUAUCAGUGCCAGUGAGCACUGAAUCCUUAGGACUCCUUUUGUUACUUCUGCAAAGGAUCUGCUAUAUGACUCUGUCAACAGGAGUUUGUUUUUCUUAAGGUCUGUUUUGGAUACAAGCCAGAUGUUUUGCUGUAUGCCCCAUGCAUGUAUGUCUUGAAUUCUUGCUGAGACAAUAAAUACAAAGCAUUUGCAAGAAAAAAAAA
RNAcentral lists this long non-coding RNA (2987 nucleotides) under Strigops habroptila (Kakapo). RNAcentral's name for it is "lncRNA (ENSSHBG00005005316.1)". The record is from RNAcentral. Lineage: Eukaryota; Metazoa; Chordata; Aves; Psittaciformes; Psittacidae.